GGGGUUGUGACUCAGUGGUAGUGCGCUUGCCUCACACAUAUGAGGCACUGAGUUCAAUUCUCAGCACCACA
This 71-nucleotide transfer RNA is filed under the name Marmota monax (woodchuck). RNAcentral describes it as "tRNA.Val". Lineage: Eukaryota; Metazoa; Chordata; Mammalia; Rodentia; Sciuridae. The record is from RNAcentral.